AAGUUGGAUUUAAAUGAAGCCCAAGACCUGCGCCUGGGGAGCCACGUCCCAUCUCUUCGUGUGAUGCCACGAGGCAGCUCAGCACUAAGCUCUUCAUACAGCAACUUUCCUAAAGGAGAUGGGAGCCAUGGCCAUAUCCCUGUGCAUCGCUGCGGUGUGGGUGUGCAGAUGAACUGCUGUAUGCUUGGGUUUUAUAAACAGGAAUUCCCAAGCUGUGUAUCUUCCUACCAAGGGAGGAGAUGUUUAGCUUUUAACCUUUCUCCUGGAUGCAGUUGGAUUUUGGGAGCUGAAAUAGCUACGUCACAUCUCCUGUGUCAAAGGGGCAGCAAAAGGGAUGGAGCAGCACAAGGCCAAGCGUCAUGGCAGGAGAAGUGGAAGAGAGAGAACUCUGACCCACAGAGCAUCAAGAAGCUGGGUGAGAAGCUGGCACCACCUUGGUGGAUCUAUGGCUGUAUAGUCUGUAAAAGCCUGGCUCUGCUCUUUUGGGAAAGAAAAUGUAAGGUCUGGCCCAGGGAUGUCAAGGCAGAUGCCAAAAUGAGAUGUCACCAAAGGCAUUUUUCACUGAGCAAUCUCCCUUCCCACUGCGAGUAGAAGAGAAAGCUGUUUCUGCAGUUUGUACAUCCCUCCUGUACCACCACCCAUAAUGUCCCUGAUAAAUGAAACUCAGUGCUGGUUGCCUAUCGUCCCGCCAGGAGCUGACCAGGGAGGACUUCUGCAGCCAGCUGAAAGCCCAUCGCAGACCAUGCUUCCUCAGUAAUCUGUCAUCAGCAGAGCACACUAUCAGGACAAAAAGUCAAACUUCUUUUUUUUCCACUGAGUUCUGGUGAAGAGUCAGAGAUGUGGAAGCGACCUUUUUGAACUGGACCCUCUGGUGUUUCAGGCUCAACGCCUGCAGUGGAAUUGCCAGCUCAUGCCUGAACCAAUGAUUGAGCACCAGGUGAGGAGGCAUGGCUAAUCCAGGGAGCUCAGCUGCAAGCAGUACACCUGAGUGUCAAAAAUCACCCUCAUUUAAGGGUUAGCAGUGGAGGGAGCAGAGUUUCUCUGGAUAGGGAUCGUGCUUCUCUUGAGCUGCUACUGGUCAUCAGAAAGGGCUGCAAACAAGGCUGAAAUAACCAUUCUGGGUAAUAAGAGAGCUCCAUCACAUCGACUUGCUGCAUAAUUCCCUCCCAACAGACUGGCUCGGAUUUUGUUGCCUGCCUCUCUACCAGAUGAAAAGACCUCUAGCAGAGCAGCUGCAGGCAGUCUGUAUCGGGACACACUGAGGGAUAUUUUCUGGAUUGCCCAAGAAACAGCCAUCAGCUUGGAAGACACCCAUGGGCAGUGCUUUGCAGGAGGCAAUGCCAAAAGGUGCCCAAAGAUAAAUCACAGUUCAGUGGAGCCCAUGCAGUGGCAGCUGGGAUAUCCGAGCCAGCAGCAGAAGGCAAUAUGUGCUUCCAACCCAUCCCUCACCCCUGUAAAAACACACAAAUAGGAGCAGAAAGGCCACUGCCUGCGGGCCUCAGCCCUGAAGGGUUUCCAAUACAUCAGACCAACGGCCUGUAGAAGAACAAUUAUCUCAGAUCACAGAAUCACAGAAUCACAGAAUUGUAGGGGUUGGAAGGGACCUCCAGAGAUCAUCGAGUCCAACCGUCGCACAGGGUCUUGGUCUUCUCAAGGCUAUGGAUAGGCUUCUCAAGGCUAUCUGUCCCAACAGGCCAUCGGUCUAUGGCCUAUGGCACCCAGGGCUUUUAAUUGCUGUCAUAUUAGAAGGAUGCCAGAAGGAAAACACGAGGGAAAAGCCCCAUUCAGAGGUAGGUUCCUCUCUGCCAGGACUGGCUCGGAGGCAGCCUUUUUCCCUGAGUUUCAUUCACAGGAGCUUCUCAACUCUUUUACAGAGCUGCAUUUAGCCCUGGGUCCUGGCCAGCUCCUGAAAUCUCAUUUCCCUGGCAGUGAGGAUGGGAAGAGGGCCCUUGGUUUUGUUACCAAUCACUGCAGCCCUACCGAAGGCUGGGGAUGGAUGCUACCUCCCAGCCACCCGCUGUGCUGCACUGUGACUCUUUUAUUUUAGAAGGAAUGUAGUUAAACAGGGGAUAUUAGCUACUGGAAAAGCAACAGCAAAAUAUGCAAUGUUUCUUAAUUCUUACCAAAUAAAGGCUAAUUGUUCUGUGGAUAAAAUGAGGGGUCUUGGCCCUACAGCCAAGAUGCUGCAGACAGAAAGCAAAAGAAAAACAAGGCAAUGAACGAAACACAGAGAGGGCAACACAAACAAGAAAGCAAUGUGAUCUGUGAAACUAUUACAUAUAAUCUCUCCAUGUACUUAUACUGUAUGGGAGCUGCUCAGUCACGGCCUGAACCUCUGAUUGAUCACCUGAAGUGAGCCAUGAGUCAGCCAGAGGAGCACAGGUGAAGACAAUUCCUAGACCUAUUUAAGAGCUGGCUACGAGGGGGGAAGGAUUUCUCCUGGAGAUGUGCUCUGCUGGAGUUUUGUAAGUGAGCCCAGGAUACAGAGUUUGCCCAGACCAUCUGCAAGGUCGUGAUCCCCAGCACUGCUGAAAGCACGUGUAUGUGUGUGUGCAUGGGAGAUGAUGGGUCCAGGCAGCCUGAGCGCCAAGCCAGCCAUCUGCCUCACAGAAUGCCACAUGUGCUCCCUGUUUUUAAAAGGGAAUGGAGCAAAACAACCCCUCGUGAGAUAAUGGUUUGCAAAGUCCUCCGAAGUUGGCCCUGAAGUGCUGCAGUCCUCUGGUUGCUGGGGCAGGAAGCCCACGUCUGAAUCAACCCUGGACUUGGACUAUCCCUGGCUGCAGACUGAGCUCAUAAGGACUUCAUAACUUGCUGGCAAACCUUGAAGAA
Long non-coding RNA from Lagopus leucura (white-tailed ptarmigan), 2829 nucleotides. RefSeq lists it as uncharacterized. The transcript has 15 exons. The record is from RefSeq and is a predicted model, not a curated record. Lineage: Eukaryota; Metazoa; Chordata; Aves; Galliformes; Phasianidae.